RNAcentral lists this long non-coding RNA (989 nucleotides) under Monodelphis domestica (gray short-tailed opossum). Its description in RNAcentral is "lncRNA (ENSMODG00000049131.1)". Lineage: Eukaryota; Metazoa; Chordata; Mammalia; Didelphimorphia; Didelphidae. The record is from RNAcentral.
CAAAAGAGCGAGUUAGUGACCAAUAGAGACGUCAGGGAGAGUCUGAGCUCAACAAACACCAGGACGAGUAUUUCUUCCGCCCAGGGGGGUGGGGGUGAGGCCGAAGGCUGGGACUCCAAGCCCAGGCAGCGCCCCGCCCCCCCCCCCAAAGCAUCACCAUCUCGAUCAUCCCAACCAUUCCCAGCCCGGGGAAGAGGGUCCUGCGCCCCAGACCUCCCUCAGGAGAAGGGAUCACUAAAGAGCCACUCCACAGUGCCAAGGAGCACAACAUUAAUCUGCACAGUGCCAUCAAGCACAGGGUCAAAGAGACCAACCAAUUCAGAGACACGAUCUUGAUUCAUUCAAUAAGCAGUUACCGAGUGUCUUCUUUAUACCAGGAGCUCAAGAAACAAGGGGGGAAACAAUAGUUCUUCCCCUCCAGGAGCUUAUGUUUUAUUGGAAUCAAAUCCAAUCCUACCUAUUGAAUUCAAAUUUACCAAACAUUUUGUACCCCCAAUAUCUGCAAGACACUGUGCUAAAGACUAGGGGAAAUAUAGGGAUAUGAUUAUGAAGGUAGAAUUCCUGUUCUUGAGUUUGUAGUCUCUAGUGGAAUGUGGUGGGGAGGCAGGUAUAACAUGGGCACAGACAAAUAUAAUGAAAGACAGAGAGUAAUGCAGACAAAAAAAAAGAGAUUUUAGGGGCAUCUGGUUGAAGGAACUAGGCAUGUUUAGCUUAGAGAAGAAAAGAUUUAGGGGUGUUUAUAUAGUGGUCUUCAGGGGCAGCAUAUAAUAGAGAGAGCCUUUGGGGUCUGAGUCCAAAACCCCUCUAGACUGUGUAUCAUGAAUUGAGAUCAGAAAAAGGAAUCCAACAGGCCAUCAAAGAACUUCCUAAGAAAAAAUCCCCAGGGCCUGAUGGAUUCACAAGUGAAUUCUAUCAAACAUUCAAAGAACAGCUAAUCCCAAUACUAUACAAACCAUUUGACAUUAUAAGCAAAGAGGGAGUUCUACCAA